This 325-nucleotide ribosomal RNA is filed under the name uncultured eukaryote. RNAcentral's name for it is "partial 18S ribosomal RNA". It matches the Rfam family "Eukaryotic small subunit ribosomal RNA", at positions 1470 to 1796 of the family's 1831-position model. The record is from RNAcentral.
CCCUUAGAUGUCCUGGGCCGCACGCGCGUUACACUGAUGCAUUCAACGAGCUUAUAACCUUGGCCGAGAGGCCUGGGCAAUCUUGUUAACGUGCAUCGUGAUAGGGAUAGAUUAUUGAAAUUAUUAAUCUUGAACGAGGAAUUCCUAGUAAACGCAGAUCAUCAAUCUGCAUUGAUUACGUCCCUGCCCUUUGUACACACCGCCCGUCGCUCCUACCGAUCGAAGAGUUAGGUGAAUUGUUUUGAUCGAUAAGAUUUGACUAUGGUCAACUCUCGUUGUGAAAUUCUGUGAAUCUGACUGUUUAGAGGAAGGAAAAGUCGUAACA